This 419-nucleotide ribosomal RNA is filed under the name uncultured bacterium. Its description in RNAcentral is "bacterial SSU rRNA". It matches the Rfam family "Bacterial small subunit ribosomal RNA", at positions 32 to 424 of the family's 1533-position model. The record is from RNAcentral.
AAUCAACGCUGGCGGCGUGCCUCAGACAUGCAAGUCGAACGCGAAAUUUCCCUUCGGGGAGAAAGUAGAGUGGCGCACGGGUGAGUAACACGUAGGUAAUUUGCCUUUGGGUGGGGAAUAACUCAGGGAAACUUGAGCUAAUACCGCAUAAUGCAGCGGCUCGACAUCGAGACAGUUGUUAAAGCGGGGGAUUGGAGCAAUCCGACCUCGCGCCUAAAGAGAAGCCUGCGGCAGAUUAGCUGGUUGGUAAGGUAAUGGCUUACCAAGGCGACGAUCUGUAACCGGCCUGAGAGGGCGGUCGGUCACACUGACACUGACAUACGGGUCAGACUCCUACGGGAGGCAGCAGUCGGGAAUUUUGGGCAAUGGGCGCAAGCCUGACCCAGCAACGCCGCGUGAAGGAUGAAAUUUUUCGGAAU